This 685-nucleotide long non-coding RNA is filed under the name Phoenix dactylifera (date palm). RNAcentral describes it as "long non-coding RNA (PDAC_LNC009417)". Lineage: Eukaryota; Viridiplantae; Streptophyta; Magnoliopsida; Arecales; Arecaceae. The record is from RNAcentral.
AUAGAACCAACAACAUUCUUCUCUACUAGAAGACUAACCUCAGUCUUCCAAUAGUUCUACUUAUCAAUAUAAUUUCAUCUUACCAUAAGAAUAAGGUCCAAUACCUCUAGAUUUGGUUCUUUUUAUAGAUGAUGUAAAUCAAACUUCUCUCUCUCAUAAAUAAAAAUCAACGUCUUAAUUUUGAAUAAGAACAUCAAGUUUCUUUGUCAAAAUAUCAACUACUCUUGAUUAAUCGAUCUAUCACAAGAUUAGAUCAUAAACAACUCUAAUCCACCCCUAGUGGAAUAUUCAUCAAAGUCACGUGACAACCUCAAGUUCUUUCAAAUAGAGGGCUGAUAUUAAUUGAAGAAGUACAAGCUUCAGAUUUAGAAGGAAAGAGGUCUAUACCAAAAUAUUCCAGAUCCAAAAUCAAAAUCGAUGAUCUAUUAAUUCUAAUCUCAAGAUGUUAAUCAUUUUCUUAGCAUGACAUAAAAUUAGAGAACCUAAGAUAGUGCAGCGACAUCCAAAAAUUCAAAAUCAAAUCAAGUCUUUUGUUAUUAAAACUUGCCGAAUUAAAGGGAUAAUACUUCUGACCAACUUAGAAAAAUAGUUCAGACCACUACGCUUUCGCUGUGCACUCUGAUUCAAACCACCAAAAUUCUUUUGAAUUCACUAAUAACUUUUUUUUUAAUCAAAAUACUACCUU